This is a long non-coding RNA of Micropterus salmoides (largemouth bass), 604 nucleotides long. RefSeq lists it as uncharacterized. The record is from RefSeq and is a predicted model, not a curated record. The transcript has 2 exons. NCBI's taxonomy places the organism in Eukaryota, Metazoa, Chordata, Actinopteri, Centrarchiformes, Centrarchidae.
AAACUGGAAGACCUCAGUCAUCAUCCUCGUUUUAGCUCAAAUUUGGUGGGAUCAAAGGUGGCCAGCUGGGAGUGGGCGGGGAGCAGAUGGUUGCAUGCUCAGAGGGACCAGGCAAAGGCCCUUCAGGUUUUAACACCUCCUCUCCCCUGGGUGCCCGGGUGGGGGGGAUCCGGCUCGGGGAACCUACCUGAGCUCAGUGGCAUGACCAGCAGGCUUCCACUGUACCACCCCCUGCUUCGUUCGCAUAUGGCGCCAGCCAUGGGGGCUUUGAGCUGGGGUUCUGACCUGAGGAAAAUAAACUGUGGAAGGGCAGGGGAAGUCUUAAGCAUCCUGUCCUGUGUCUCCCUCUGCACACUAAAGAGAAAAUAAAUCCACUGCUGACACCGCCACAAUGAAUGGCCCAGGCCACCGUCCCAUCAACCAUCUCUUCCAGCUCAGAACAGAAGGAGAAAAGGAUAAUGGAUACUGGAUCAGAGAAAAGAGAAAUAAAACAACAACAACAAAAAAACAAUAGUGUAUACAGAAUCUGACAAUAGAGCCUCCAUCCCUUUUCCAUCUACCCAUCAUUUCUAUGAAAGAAUAAAUUCAAAACAUUCCCAAAAAA